GAAAUGCGAUAAUUAAUGUGAAUUGCAGAAUUCAGUGAAUCAUCGAGUCUUUGAACGCACAUUGCGCCCCCUGGUAUUCCGGGGGGCAUGCCUGUCCUAGCGUCAUUGCUGCCCUCAAGCACGGCUUGUGUGUUGGGCUUCCGUCCCUGGCAACGGGGACGGGCCCAAAAGGCAGUGGCGGCACCAUGUCUGGUCCUCGAGCGUAUGGGGCUUUGUCACCCGCUCCCGUAGGUCCAGCUGGCAGCUAGCCUCGCAACCAAUCUUUUUAACCAGGUUGACCUCGGAUCAGGUAGGGAUACCCGCUGAACUUAAGC
RNAcentral lists this unclassified non-coding RNA (314 nucleotides) under plant metagenome. RNAcentral describes it as "partial contains 5.8S ribosomal RNA, internal transcribed spacer 2, and large subunit ribosomal RNA". The stretch from base 1 to 105 matches the Rfam family "5.8S ribosomal RNA", at positions 50 to 154 of the family's 154-position model. The record is from RNAcentral.